AGCAUGUUAGCCGAAUGGUAAGGCAUAGUACUACGGAUACUGUUAUUAUGAGUUCGAAUCUCAUACAUGUUU
Molecule: non-coding RNA, 72 nt
Organism: Collariella sp. IMI 366227
Lineage: Eukaryota; Fungi; Ascomycota; Sordariomycetes; Sordariales; Chaetomiaceae
Source: the annotation of a GenBank genome assembly